This 783-nucleotide ribosomal RNA is filed under the name uncultured bacterium. RNAcentral's name for it is "bacterial SSU rRNA". It matches the Rfam family "Bacterial small subunit ribosomal RNA", at positions 28 to 776 of the family's 1533-position model. The record is from RNAcentral.
AUUGAACGCUGGCGGCAGGCCUAACACAUGCAAGUCGAGCGGCAGCGACUUAACUGAACCUUCGGGGAACGUUAAGGGCGGCGAGCGGCGGACGGGUGAGUAAUGCCUGGAAAUAUGCCUCAGUGUGGGGGAUAACUAUUGGAAACGAUAGCUAAUACCGCAUAAUCUCCGAUCUUUUACGAGAUGGGAGCAAAGCGGGGGACCUUCGGGCCUCGCGCGCUGAGAUUAGCCCAGGUGGGAUUAGCUUGUUGGUGAGGUAAUGGCUCACCAAGGCAACGAUCCCUAGCUGGUCUGAGAGGAUGAUCAGCCACACUGGAACUGAGACACGGUCCAGACUCCUACGGGAGGCAGCAGUGGGGAAUAUUGCACAAUGGGGGAAACCCUGAUGCAGCCAUGCCACGUGUGUGAAGAAGGCCUUCGGGUUGUAAAGCACUUUCAGUAGGGAGGAAGGUAGUGUAGUUAACACCUGCAUUAUUUGACGUUACCUACAGAAGAAGCACCGGCUAACUCCGUGCCAGCAGCCGCGGUAAUACGGAGGGUGCGAGCGUUAAUCGGAAUUACUGGGCGUAAAGCGCAUGCAGGCGGCCUGUUAAGUCAGAUGUGAAAGCCCGGGGCUUAACCUCGGAAUUGCAUUUGAAACUGGCAGGCUAGAGUCUUGUAGAGGGGGGUAGAAUUUCAGGUGUAGCGGUGAAAUGCGUAGAGAUCUGAAGGAAUACCAGUGGCGAAGGCGGCCCCCUGGACAAAGACUGACGCUCAGAUGCGAAAGCGUGGGGAGCAAACAGG